RNAcentral lists this ribosomal RNA (518 nucleotides) under uncultured bacterium. Its description in RNAcentral is "bacterial SSU rRNA". It matches the Rfam family "Bacterial small subunit ribosomal RNA", at positions 1000 to 1523 of the family's 1533-position model. The record is from RNAcentral.
CUAGAGAUAGGGAGAUAGUUAUAGAGAAGACAGGUGGUGCAUGGUUGUCGUCAGCUCGUGUCGUGAGAUGUUGGGUUAAGUCCCGCAACGAGCGCAACCCUUGUCGUUAGUUACCAGCAGUAAGAUGGGGACUCUAACGAGACCGCCGGUGAGAAGCCGGAGGAAGACGGGGAUGACGUCAAAUCAUCAUGCCCCUUAUGACCUGGGCGACACACGUGCUACAAUGGUCGGUACAGAGAGAAGCGAAGCUGUGAAGUGGAGCGAAACUCAAAAAGCCGAUCGUAGUCCGGAUUGCAGUCUGCAACUCGACUGCAUGAAGCUGGAAUCGCUAGUAAUCGCAAGUCAGCCAUAUUGCGGUGAAUACGUUCUCGGGCCUUGUACACACCGCCCGUCACACCAUGAGAGUUGAUAACACCCGAAGCCGGUGGCCUAACGGAAACGAAGGAGCUGUCGAAGGUGGGAUUGAUGAUUGGGGUGAAGUCGUAACAAGGUAUCCCUACGGGAACGUGCGGCUGGAU